RNAcentral lists this transfer RNA (72 nucleotides) under Camelus bactrianus (Bactrian camel). It matches the Rfam family "tRNA". From Rfam's summary of the family: Transfer RNA (tRNA) molecules are approximately 80 nucleotides in length. Their secondary structure includes four short double-helical elements and three loops (D, anti-codon, and T loops). The record is from Rfam by way of RNAcentral. RNAcentral also lists the same sequence under 2 other names. Lineage: Eukaryota; Metazoa; Chordata; Mammalia; Artiodactyla; Camelidae.
GAGGAUAUAGCUCAGUGGUACAGUACGUGCUUAGCGAGCACAAGGUCCUGGGUUCUAUCCCCAGCACCUCCA